RNAcentral lists this transfer RNA (81 nucleotides) under Lactococcus petauri. RNAcentral describes it as "tRNA-Tyr". It matches the Rfam family "tRNA". From Rfam's summary of the family: Transfer RNA (tRNA) molecules are approximately 80 nucleotides in length. Their secondary structure includes four short double-helical elements and three loops (D, anti-codon, and T loops). Lineage: Bacteria; Bacillati; Bacillota; Bacilli; Lactobacillales; Streptococcaceae. The record is from RNAcentral.
ACGGAUAUAGUUUCAGGGUAAAACAGCGAGAAGUUCACGAAAGUAAUUCUCGUUUUGUGGGUUCGAUUCCCAUUAUCCGUA